CCCUUAGAUGUUCUGGGCCGCACGCGUGCUACACUGAGUGGAUCAGCGGGUCAGGUUACGCGAGAGCGUUUCCUAAUCUUCAAAUCCGCUCGUGAUGGGGAUUGACGGUUGCAAUUUUCCGUCAUGAACGAGGAAUACCUUGUAAGCGCGGGUCAUCAUCCCGUGCUGAAUACGUCCCUGCCCUUUGUACACACCGCCCGUCGCUCCUACCGAUUGAGUGGUCCGGUGAGGCUUUGGGAUCUAAGCGAAAAGAGCGUUUCGCUCCUUUUGCUGGGAGAACUCAGUCGAACCUUAUCAUUUAGAGGAAGGAGAAGUCGUAACA
Molecule: ribosomal RNA, 322 nt
Filed under: uncultured eukaryote
Lineage: Eukaryota
Description: partial 18S ribosomal RNA
Rfam family: Eukaryotic small subunit ribosomal RNA
Source: RNAcentral